Long non-coding RNA from Zophobas morio, 451 nucleotides. RefSeq lists it as uncharacterized. The transcript is spliced from 3 exons. Lineage: Eukaryota; Metazoa; Arthropoda; Insecta; Coleoptera; Tenebrionidae. The record is from RefSeq and is a predicted model, not a curated record.
CGCUGCUCCGCCGCCUCGUUUUCGAACUCGCUUUCGUUGAUUCUUGCCUGCACCGCAUGAGCAGCGAAACAGAGAAUCCGUCGUUGUCUUUAUUGUCGUACAUGCGGUCAAACUCAGCCUUCUUCAGAACUUUUUCUUCAUAGCGGAGCCGGUCCGAUUGUUGAACGACUGAUAAUCAUGUUUAAGCCUGCACGAAAAUAAUAUAGAAAGAAUAACCGUCACGUGGCGAUUCCUCUGCUUUGUGCUCAGCUAGAAAAACUAGUAUAACCAAGAAGCUUACAGAAAGGUGUGCAAAAAACCUACACGACGCAAUUUCGAGGUCCUCGAAGUCACCAUCGGCGUCGCUUUCCUCGUCUUCCAUCAAAAGCUUCUCGGCGUCUUCGCUCCCCCAUUCUCCGAGAGACACAAUGAGGAAAACCAAACAACAACCUGCACGUCUUCCUCAUCCCAG